This 76-nucleotide transfer RNA is filed under the name Ruminococcus sp. Its description in RNAcentral is "tRNA-Phe". It matches the Rfam family "tRNA". From Rfam's summary of the family: Transfer RNA (tRNA) molecules are approximately 80 nucleotides in length. Lineage: Bacteria; Bacillati; Bacillota; Clostridia; Eubacteriales; Oscillospiraceae. The record is from RNAcentral. RNAcentral also lists the same sequence under 2 other names.
GCCUCUGUAGCUCAGUAGGUAGAGCAGGGGACUGAAAAUCCCCGUGUCGAUGGUUCGAUUCCGUCCGGAGGCACCA